RNAcentral lists this ribosomal RNA (440 nucleotides) under uncultured bacterium. Its description in RNAcentral is "partial 16S ribosomal RNA". It matches the Rfam family "Bacterial small subunit ribosomal RNA", at positions 338 to 795 of the family's 1533-position model. The record is from RNAcentral.
CCUACGGGAGGCAGCAGUGGGGAAUAUUGCACAAUGGGCGGAACUCUGAUGCAGCGAAGCCGCGUGAGUGAAGAAGUAAUUCGUUAUGUAAAGCUCUAUCAGCAGGGAAGCAAGUGACGGUACCUGAAAAAUAAGCUCCGGCUAAAUACGUGCCAGCUGCCGCGGUAAUACGUAUGGAGCAAGCGUUAUCCGGAUUUACUGGGUGUAAAGGGAGAGUAGGUGGCAGAGCAAGUCCGAAGGGAAAACACAAAUAUCAACUAUGGGAAUGCUUUAGAAACUGCUCAGCUAGAGUGAAGGAGAGGUAAGGGGAAUGCGUAGUGUAGCGGUGAAAUGCAUAGAUAUUAGGAGGAACACCAGUGGCGAAGGCAGCUUGCUGGAGUGUAACUGACACUGAGGCACGAAAGUGUGGGGAGCAAACAGGAUUAGAUACCCGGGUAGUC